UUGAGUCCCAAGUCUUGUGGGAAGUCAAUGUUUGGUGGGAAAUUAGUUUUUAAAUUGAACAGAAAGUUCUAAUUCUGUAUUGUUUCUUAAGUUUAAAUGACCCCGAUGUGAAUGGAGUGUUUUAUUUGAUUAAUGUGUGAAAGCUUAAAAGAUGUGUUGGCCCUGCGAUGAGGUGGCGACUUGUCUAGGAUGUACCCUGUUCCGCUCGAAUGCAGCUGAAAUAGGCUCCGGCGACCCCGAAAGGGACAAGCGGUAGAAAAUGGAUGGAUGGACGGAUGAGCAUUUUGGUGAACUAUGACCGUAUCAAAACAACGUGGACGCCGACAGGAGUAGACAACUUUUAAGAAUCAGCAUCGGCGUGUUUUCGCCGAGUGCCCUGGGCGGCAUAAUCGUCAAAUCCAUCAACACACUCGCUUGGCAUCAGAUCAGCACGGCGCCCUUUGAAGGAGAUGGACGUCACCGC
This is a long non-coding RNA of Entelurus aequoreus (snake pipefish), 463 nucleotides long. RefSeq lists it as uncharacterized. NCBI's taxonomy places the organism in Eukaryota, Metazoa, Chordata, Actinopteri, Syngnathiformes, Syngnathidae. The transcript has 3 exons. The record is from RefSeq and is a predicted model, not a curated record.